GAUGAACGCUGGCGGCGUGCCUAAUACAUGCAAGUCGAGCGAACGGACGAGAAGCUUGCUUCUCUGAUGUUGGCGGCGGACGGGUGAGUAACACGUGGAUAACCUACCUAUAAGACUGGGAUAACUUCGGGAAACCGGAGCUAAUACCGGAUAAUAUUUUGAACCGCAUGGUUCAAAAGUGAAAGACGGUCUUGCUGUCACUUAUAGAUGGAUCCGCGCUGCAUUAGCUAGUUGGUAAGGUAACGGCUUACCAAGGCAACGAUGCAUAGCCGACCUGAGAGGGUGAUCGGCCACACUGGAACUGAGACACGGCCCAGACUCCUACGGGAGGCAGCAGUAGGGAAUCUUCCGCAAAGGGCGAAAGCCUGACGGAGCAACGCCGCGUGAGUGAUGAAGGUCUUCGGAUCGUAAAACUCUGUUAUUAGGGAAGAACAUAUGUGUAAGUAACUGUGCACAUCUUGACGGUACCUAAUCAGAAAGCCACGGCUAACUACGUG
This 497-nucleotide ribosomal RNA is filed under the name uncultured bacterium. RNAcentral's name for it is "partial 16S ribosomal RNA". It matches the Rfam family "Bacterial small subunit ribosomal RNA", at positions 28 to 507 of the family's 1533-position model. The record is from RNAcentral.